Molecule: unclassified non-coding RNA, 311 nt
Filed under: uncultured fungus
Lineage: Eukaryota; Fungi
Description: sequence contains ITS1
Source: RNAcentral
UUGUGUUGUGUUGUUGUGUUGUGUUGUUGUUGUGUGACGCACAUGUAGCGUGUACUGUUGUGUGACGCACAUGUAGCGUGUACUGUUGUGUUCCGGCGCGUCACAUCCACGAGCCGCCCGACCUAUCCGCGCAGCCUGCCGCACGUGCCGCACGUGCCACCCGUGCACAUGACGCCCCCGCCUCCCGGCCUGCCACAUAGUGGUCGUGUGUUGUGUUGUGUUGCGGGUGUGUGUGGAUGACAGACGCCCCCCACACAUCCCCCACCCCACACCAUGCGCUAAUGAUCCUUCCGCAGGUUCACCUACGGAAA